Molecule: ribosomal RNA, 491 nt
Filed under: uncultured bacterium
Lineage: Bacteria
Description: bacterial SSU rRNA
Rfam family: Bacterial small subunit ribosomal RNA
Source: RNAcentral
AAAGGAAUUGACGGGGGCCCGCACAAGCAGCGGAGCAUGUGGCUUAAUUCGAAGCAACGCGAAGAACCUUACCAGGGCUUGACAUAUGGGUGAAGCGGGGGAGACCCCGUGGCCGAGAGGAGCCCAUACAGGUGGUGCAUGGCUGUCGUCAGCUCGUGUCGUGAGAUGUUGGGUUAAGUCCCGCAACGAGCGCAACCCCCGCCGCGUGUUGCCAUCGGGUGAUGCCGGGAACCCACGCGGGACCGCCGCCGUCAAGGCGGAGGAGGGCGGGGACGACGUCAAGUCAUCAUGCCCCUUAUGCCCUGGGCUGCACACGUGCUACAAUGGCCGGUACAGAGGGAUGCCACCCCGCGAGGGGGAGCGGAUCCCGGAAAGCCGGCCCCAGUUCGGAUUGGGGGCUGCAACCCGCCCCCAUGAAGUCGGAGUUGCUAGUAAUCGCGGAUCAGCAUGCCGCGGUGAAUGCGUUCCCGGGCCUUGUACACACCGCCCGU